AUUUAAAUAGUUUAUAAAAAAUAUUGAUUUGUGGUAUCAAAGAAAAUUAUGUUUAAUUUUUAAAUU
Molecule: transfer RNA, 66 nt
Filed under: Neodiprion qinghaiicus
Lineage: Eukaryota; Metazoa; Arthropoda; Insecta; Hymenoptera; Diprionidae
Description: tRNA-His
Source: RNAcentral